Molecule: ribosomal RNA, 389 nt
Filed under: Agrobacterium sp. H5-17-l
Lineage: Bacteria; Pseudomonadati; Pseudomonadota; Alphaproteobacteria; Hyphomicrobiales; Rhizobiaceae
Also listed under: 1 other name
Description: bacterial SSU rRNA
Rfam family: Bacterial small subunit ribosomal RNA
Source: RNAcentral
UGGAUUAGCUAGUUGGUGGGGUAAAGGCCUACCAAGGCGACGAUCCAUAGCUGGUCUGAGAGGAUGAUCAGCCACAUUGGGACUGAGACACGGCCCAAACUCCUACGGGAGGCAGCAGUGGGGAAUAUUGGACAAUGGGCGCAAGCCUGAUCCAGCCAUGCCGCGUGAGUGAUGAAGGCCUUAGGGUUGUAAAGCUCUUUCACCGGAGAAGAUAAUGACGGUAUCCGGAGAAGAAGCCCCGGCUAACUUCGUGCCAGCAGCCGCGGUAAUACGAAGGGGGCUAGCGUUGUUCGGAAUUACUGGGCGUAAAGCGCACGUAGGCGGAUAUUUAAGUCAGGGGUGAAAUCCCAGAGCUCAACUCUGGAACUGCCUUUGAUACUGGGUAUCUU